CGCGAACUCGGGGCGUGCACACCCUUCUGCUUCCUUGUGCUCCUCCCUCCAGCCUCGGUCCCUCGGGGCGUCUGUGCAGCCUACGCUUUCCGGUGUAUUAGCAGAGAGCUGGAUCAGAAGUGGAACAGUCUGGACUCAAAUCCACGUCCUUAUGAGAUGCUGUCGUCAAAGCUGAUGCUCAGCGCAGCUGGGACUGGGCCAUACUGAGGCCAGAAGCCAGGACUCAACCUGGCCUCCCACGUGGGUGGCCGAGACCCAAGUGCACGAGCCAUCACCGAUGCCUCCCAAGAGGGAGAGAGAGGUCUUCCAUCCACUGGUUCACUCCCCAAAUGGCCGCGACUGUUGGAGCUGGGCUGAUUCAAAGCCAGGAGCCAGGAGAUUCUUCUCAGUAUCCCAUGAGCGAUCCGUCCCAGAGGAAGAAUCUAACAGCGCAGCAGGGAGAGGUGAGAAUUAUUAAGGCACCGCCCUUCGGUGGGCAAAGGAGAGAGGGUCCCAGACGGCACCCCCGUAAUACUCAGAGCGAAGCUGGUAAGCGGGGCCGGGGCCUGACCUGGACUCAUUUUACAUCCGAGCGUCUGCCACUGUGAGGACAGCCGUGGUGGCCCUGCACUCUGGCCCCCGCCUUCCACCUGCCGCCUCUGCCUUCCCCAGCCUUCCCCUGCCCCGGUUCUGAACUGCUUCUGGCAGGCCAGGGCUCCGACAUCCACAGUCAGGGCCAUUAAAUUGCAAGGGGAAAAAAGCAGUCUCAGGGAAGUAAAAGAGCGUGGGGGUGCUGAACCCCACACUGGGGAGCGCCCAUAACUUGGCCGCUUCAGGAGUCUGGUCCACCUCCUCAGGCCGUCGCACCUGUCCUCCCUCUCCAGAGCUGGCCGCCUCCUGCGGCCUGCGUGUCACACCUUGGUCUUACCUCAGCUGCAGGUCUGAUGGCCUCGAGGUCCCCUGUGCUGAAUUCAUGAGAAAAGGAAUCGCAUUGGCCCAGAUCACAGCGCCACCUUCUGAGGCCUGGCCGCCCAGUGGUGUGGCUGCCUAGCUGUCCUUGUACUGCCUUGGCCUGGUCAGCUGUAGCUGGGAGGGGGUCACCUUCGGGACACAGCUGCGGGCCGGGCCUGAGCCGCGGGCCCUCAGGAGGGGCGCGGGGUGGAGGCAUGCUGGCUGGCACGGUCAUCUGUCCAGCUGUUGGAAUCGUGUGCGGGACCGGAGACGAGGGCGUCUCUGAGUGUGUGAGCUUUCUCUUACAGACUUUUGAACACUCAGUUUAACUUUCUGCUUGUCUGUUUUUAUUGGUUGUGUUCUAUUUAUUACAACAUAAACCCUCUGCAAAUUCUUGUGGAAUGAAUGACUUCUGAAAUGAUGAAUAAGAGCUGUUCUCUCCCCCUUGAGUCCAUAUCAAUUUUAUUUUAUUUCUGCAUUUUUGGUUCAAAAAGAAAAUGGCUUUUCUUCAAAACACUCUAUGUAUUUUUUUUUUAAGUCAGACCUUUGGCAAAACGCUGCCAGGCAUGUUGGAAUCCAGAUUUGUCCACCCGUCCCACUUAAGGGUAGAGUUCUUCUGGGAUCUAAAGUUAGCUUAGAUUUGAAAACAUUUUAUUUAAUAUAAAUGUAUUGAGGAUAUUUAUAUAUUUAAGAAUUAUUAUCAUUCCCCAAAG
Molecule: long non-coding RNA, 1643 nt
Organism: Lepus europaeus (European hare)
Lineage: Eukaryota; Metazoa; Chordata; Mammalia; Lagomorpha; Leporidae
Exons: 5
Source: RefSeq, a predicted model, not a curated record